Gasterosteus aculeatus aculeatus (three-spined stickleback) is the source of this 1791-nucleotide long non-coding RNA. NCBI's taxonomy places the organism in Eukaryota, Metazoa, Chordata, Actinopteri, Perciformes, Gasterosteidae. The record is from Ensembl.
AAGCAGUCAACCCCAAACAAUCAGAAAGGGGCAGGUUUUAAUGCACUCAAGAGACAGCGGACAGCUGCGUCGAAUCUGCCUUAUGGCCUCAGCUCCACUCCACCAGGAAGUUUACCCGGUAACACACACAGACAGACACACCCACAAAUACCCUGGCAGUGGCCCUGGGGCCGUCACACCCACCCCCCCUCCCCCAGCCCAUCAGGGGCUCACGCCUCUGUAUCACCUUCCCCUCCCCCACGUACCAGCCUGCUUCAAGGCCUCCACCAUCAUCCCUGUUCCCAAGCAGCCCAGGAUCACAGGACUCAAUGACUACCUCCCUGACCUCUGUAGUCAUGAAGUCUUUUGAACGGCUAGUCCUGUCCCACCUGAAGACCCUCACUGACCCCCUCCUGGACCCCCUGCAGUUCGCCUACAGAAUCAACAGGUCUGUGGACGAUGCUGUCAACAUGGCCCUCAACUACAUCCUCCAGCCUCUGGACUCCCCAGGAACCUACGCCAGGAUCCGGUUUGUGGACUUCAGCUCUGCCUUCAACACCAUCAUCCCGUCUCUGCUGCAGGACAAACUCUCAGCUACACAGACAAAUAACAAAGGAUCCAAACAAAUAAGUAAGGCCUGUCUCUCGUACACAGUUAAAAUAUUUCUUGACCUAGUUAGGAGGCCAAAACAAGGCAAACCCAAACAGGGUUAAUUUAACAAAAGGAUCCAAACAAAUAAGUAAGGCCUGUCUCUCGUACACAGUUAAAAUAUUUCUUGACCUAGUUAGGAGGCCAAAACAAGGCAAACCCAAACAGGGUUAAUUUAACAAAAGGCAAAGAAACAGGGUUAAUUUAAGCAAAGCAUUGGUCUCUGGCAGGUUAGCGGGUGUAGAGCUGAUGCUCAGUGAUCCAUGCCCGGUCAGGCCGCUUCAGCCAAACAGCGUGGGUCGGAGGGAUCGACGCUACCAUGAGAAUUACCAGCGGCGGACAUUGAGUGCAUCAGGUGGAGAGUAGUAUGCAGCCACACCAGUGAGCUUCUGUCACCACACAGCGCCGCGUGAAAGACGCCUGGCUAAUGAAAUGCAGACAGGUGCUCUGAGGCCGCCUUUGUACCGCAUUGUCAUGCAGCGAUUGGCUGUGAUCCAGACCCAGCUGAAAGUUAUUAGGACCAAUCACUGCAUACUGCCACACAAGCCCAAAAGAUCGUAGCCGACCCCUCUCACCCCAGACAAAACCUGUUUGUGCCCCUUCCAUCUGGAAGGAGGCUGAGGUCCCUUCAGGGCUAAGACCUCCCGCCACACGAACAGUUUCUUCCCUUCGGCAGUCGGGCUCAUCAACAGAGCCCGGUCAUCCACUGACUGACUCUGACAUUCCUCUGGUCACUUUCUUUUAAAAUUCAUAUUUUUAAAUCUAACUUUAUUCUUUUAUUUUAAACUAACCCAUAUAAUAAAAUGCUAAUGCUAUGGGGUAGUUAACAUUAGCAUUUUAUUUUAUUACGCGUGCACUGCUAGUUUGUCUAUUGUCAUACUGUCUACUGUCACGCACCAACCGCCAAGUCACAUUCCUUGUAUGUAUGACAUAUUUUGGCGAUAAAUGUCAAUGACACCUCCAAUCUACAGCAGAACCUGGCAUAUCAGGAGAUUGGAGCUACUUAGGCUCUACCACCACCACCAGUGUCUGGACUCCCAAAGGGGGGAUAUGCCUCAUCUCAGCAUCCUGGCCCCUGCGGCAGGAUGGAGUCCAAGCCCCAAACAACUUUGCAAUAUAAGUAUUUAUGCCUGUUAUAAUAAAGCAUUGUUAAAAUUUCAAGAA